CAUUCACAACCCUGGUAAGUUGCUCUGGAUAAGAGCGUCUGCUAAAUGACCUAAA
Non-coding RNA from Salmo salar (Atlantic salmon), 55 nucleotides. The record is from Rfam. Lineage: Eukaryota; Metazoa; Chordata; Actinopteri; Salmoniformes; Salmonidae.